This 424-nucleotide ribosomal RNA is filed under the name uncultured bacterium. RNAcentral describes it as "bacterial SSU rRNA". It matches the Rfam family "Bacterial small subunit ribosomal RNA", at positions 355 to 793 of the family's 1533-position model. The record is from RNAcentral.
UAAGGGAUAUUGCGCCAAUGGGCGAAAGCCUGACGCAGCAACGCCGCGUGCGGGAGGAAGGCCUUCGGGUUGUAAACCGCUUUUCUGGGGGAAGAGGAAGGACGGUACCCUGGGAAUAAGUCUCGGCUAACUACGUGCCAGCAGCCGCGGUAAAACGUAGGAGGCGAGCGUUAUCCGGAUUUACUGGGUGUAAAGCGCGUGCAGGCGGUGACGCAAGUCGUGCGUGAAAGCGCUCUGGCUCAACCGGGCGAGGACGUGCGGAACUGCGUCACUAGAGGCAGGUAGAGGCGUGUGGAAUUCCGGGUGUAGUGGUGAAAUGCGUAGAGAUCCGGAGGAACACCAGUGGCGAAGGCGACGCGCUGGGCCUGACCUGACGCUAAGACGCGAAAGCAUGGGGAGCGAACGGGAUUAGAUACCCGGGUAG